AAGCGGUGGAGCACGUGGUUUAAUUCGAUGCAAACCGAAGAACCUUACCUGGGUUUGACAUGUGCGUGUUACUGAGGUGAAAGGCCGAGGGACCAUAUCUUCGGAUGUGGAGCGUACACAGGUGCUGCAUGGCUGUCGUCAGCUCGUGUCGUGAGGUGUUGGGUUAAGUCCCCGCAACGAGCGCAACCCCGCCGUUAGUUGCCAGCGGUUCGGCCGGGCAACUCUAACGGGACUGCCCGCGAAAGCGGGGAGGAAGGAGGGGACGACGUCUGGUCAGCAUGGCUCUUACGGGCCUGGGCGACACACGUGCUACAAUGCCCACUACAAAGCGAUGCCACCCGGCAACGGGGAGCUAAUCGCAAAAAGGUGGGCCCAGUUCGGAUUGGGGUCUGCAACCCGACCCCAUGAAGCCGGAAUCGCUAGUAAUCGCGGAUCAGCCAUGCCGCGGUGAAUACGUUCCCGGGCCUU
RNAcentral lists this ribosomal RNA (468 nucleotides) under uncultured Thermus sp. RNAcentral's name for it is "bacterial SSU rRNA". It matches the Rfam family "Bacterial small subunit ribosomal RNA", at positions 927 to 1382 of the family's 1533-position model. The record is from RNAcentral. Lineage: Bacteria; Thermotogati; Deinococcota; Deinococci; Thermales; Thermaceae.